AUUUCAUAAGGUGAUGGCGUUCCACCUUACCUUAACCGCCCUCAGGGCUGAUGACGCCUGUCAUAAC
Molecule: non-coding RNA, 67 nt
Filed under: Sodalis praecaptivus
Lineage: Bacteria; Pseudomonadati; Pseudomonadota; Gammaproteobacteria; Enterobacterales; Bruguierivoracaceae
Description: Fluoride sequence
Rfam family: Fluoride riboswitch aptamer (crcB RNA motif)
Source: Rfam by way of RNAcentral